GCUAGGAGCAGCUUGAUAUUCAUAACUGAUCACAGAAAUUUAAUGCAGGCAUCUUGACGUGACACCUUUAAAAGCAUCAUGUUCUGCUAUGUGAGAAAGUGGAUAACAACACAAGAAUACCAGAUGUUGAUCUUGCUACAGUUAAUUCAUUUGCAUAUAUAACCAGACCAGCAGUCCUGAUUACAAGGCAGGAAAAUGAUGAAUAUUCAUUAAAAUCAACUUGAAACUGCAAAACUCAGGAAAACUAGAGAACUGACACCAAGUCCGGAACAACUUCUGAGAGGCAUAUAUAUCUUCCAGCGGGGCCAAGGGUGGUGGGUGGCGCGUAGGUUCCACGGCAGCCGAUCGCCUGUGAUAGGCGAUCGCUUCCGCUUGGAUCCUCCCUACUGUCUUAUUGCGCGAGAUGCUAACGAAAUUUUCAAAAAAAGUUUCGUUAACAUUUAUUGGAUUGUAUGUGUGAUUUGAAAUACAUGACGCUACAAAAGAGUUGUAGUACAAUAGAAA
RNAcentral lists this long non-coding RNA (504 nucleotides) under Anneissia japonica. RNAcentral describes it as "uncharacterized LOC117121787". Lineage: Eukaryota; Metazoa; Echinodermata; Crinoidea; Comatulida; Comatulidae. The record is from RNAcentral.